GAGUUUGAUCGUGGCUCAGGAUGAACGCUAGCGGCAGGCUUAACACAUGCAAGUCGAGGGGCAGCAUGGUCUAGCAAUAGACUGAUGGCGACCGGCAAACGGGUGCGGAACACGUACAGAAUCUACCUUUAUCUGGGGGAUAGCCCGAAGAGAUUCGGAUUAACACCCCAUAAGAUCUUAGGAUGGCAUCAUCUAUAGAUUAAAACUCCGGUGGAUAGAGAUGACUGUGCGUCCCAUUAGCUAGUUGGUAGGGUAAAGGCCUACCAAGGCGACGAUGGGUAGCUGGUGUGAGAGCACGACCAGCCACACGGGCACUGAGACACGGGCCCGACUCCUACGGGAGGCAGCAGUGAGGAAUAUUGGUCAAUGGACGCAAGUCUGAACCAGCCAUGCCGCGUGAAGGACGAAGGCGUUCUGCGUUGUAAACUUCUUUUAUCUGGGAAGAAACCUACGAUUUCUAUUGUAGCCGACGGUACCAGAGGAAUAAGCACCGGCUAACUCCGUG
RNAcentral lists this ribosomal RNA (505 nucleotides) under uncultured Sphingobacterium sp. RNAcentral's name for it is "bacterial SSU rRNA". It matches the Rfam family "Bacterial small subunit ribosomal RNA", at positions 9 to 507 of the family's 1533-position model. The record is from RNAcentral. Lineage: Bacteria; Pseudomonadati; Bacteroidota; Sphingobacteriia; Sphingobacteriales; Sphingobacteriaceae.